RNAcentral lists this long non-coding RNA (290 nucleotides) under Malus domestica (apple). RNAcentral describes it as "long non-coding RNA (MDOM_LNC000525)". Lineage: Eukaryota; Viridiplantae; Streptophyta; Magnoliopsida; Rosales; Rosaceae. The record is from RNAcentral.
UUCACCAAGGAGAGAUUGGAGAAGAAAUGAGUGACCUUGGAGUAGUGGGAUUGCAAGAUGUACCCCCCAAGGUGGCCGGCCUCUUUAGAGAGAAAUGGAGAGACAUGUUCUCUCCAAUUUUCUCCAAAACAAACCCUAAAUGAAUUUUGGCUAUAAAGUCAUAUUUAUACCAUUAUUCAUUUGAGUGGCAAACUUGUAAAUAAGUCCAAGUUCACUACCCUUAACAAUAUGGCCGGCCAUUAGGAUAUUUUGGACUAAUUGGGCCUUUGUGAAUCAUUAUUCAUUAAGUU